This 254-nucleotide ribosomal RNA is filed under the name uncultured bacterium. Its description in RNAcentral is "partial 16S ribosomal RNA". It matches the Rfam family "Bacterial small subunit ribosomal RNA", at positions 524 to 776 of the family's 1533-position model. The record is from RNAcentral.
GACAGAGGGUGCAAACGUUUGUUCGGAAUUACUGGGCGUAAAGCGCGUGUAGGCGGCUUGGCAAGUCGGGUGUGAAAGCCCUGGGCUCAACCCAGGAAGUGCACUCGAAACUGCUUCGCUCGAGUAUCGGAGAGGAAAGCGGAAUUCUCGGUGUAGAGGUGAAAUUCGUAGAUAUCGAGAGGAACACCGGUGGCGAAGGCGGCUUUCUGGGCCGUAACUGACGCUGAGGAGCGAAAGCGUGGGGAGCGAACAGG